Long non-coding RNA from Manis javanica (Malayan pangolin), 1293 nucleotides. RefSeq lists it as uncharacterized. NCBI's taxonomy places the organism in Eukaryota, Metazoa, Chordata, Mammalia, Pholidota, Manidae. The record is from RefSeq and is a predicted model, not a curated record.
GUAGCGCCCAUAAAUAAGAGGAACUUUGGGGAGCAUAAUAUAUUUCCUCCACCCGUCCUGCCUUUCAUUUGGUGGAACUCCAGGCUGCAGAACUUGAUGCACUACCGCCUCUUUUAUACCUUCCUCUUAUUGUCCCUAUCAAAGUCCUGCUGUUUCUUCCUUCUAGACUUUGACCGUAGACCCUUACUGGCGUCUGGCCCCAACCUCCCUCUCUCACCUCCUGUUUAAAUCUUCCGGGCAAGGCGUUGCACACCCCGCACGGAUAUUACCUUGUGAUUUCCCUCCGCUUGAAAUGUCCUCCUUUACUGGGCCCUUCUCUCCUCCCCUAUUAUGGCCUUAUUUUAGCUUCAAAUAAUCCCAGGGCCUGAAGUUCAACUAGCCUAAUUGCAUAUCCAUAGACACUACAUUCUACAAGGAAGUCAUCAUGUAUUAAAUUAUGUGAAGUAUUUUUAGAAAUAUUUUCAUGCAGUGAGCAGUUAUUGAGUACCUACGGUGUACCAGGUUUUCACAUCUGCUCUGAAACCCAGAUGAAAAGAUAGUCCCCACUCUCAUGGCCUUCAUCACCUAGUCUGUUAGGUCCCUACUGUGUGCAUGAAGCUUGGGAAAUGCUUUUCCUAAGGGUAUUUUUUGUACUACUCAGUGCCCUCAAUCCCUGGUUGGCAAAGGAGCUCCUGUGAAAGCUCAUCCCUGACUAAGAGCAGACAUCCUGGGGAGUGUAUGUGGAGUGAAACUGAGAAGCCAAGUAAACAGUCCUGAUGACCUGACUAGAUUCAAAGAAAGAGCUUGGAGAACCUUGGAAGAAUCACUCACCAUGGCACUCACACUUUAAGCCAAGACAGUAGUACAUUCUUCACUGAAUGGUGAUCAGUGAUUGUGAUGGUGAAAGCAUGUGUCAAAAUGAAGCUCAUGUCAGCCUGCAUCCCUAAGUUAGCAAAAUACUCCCGGGCCUCCUGCCAAACCACAGAGAACAGCUCAGAACAAGUGAUCCAGGGAAAAAAAUCUUAAGGUAAUUGCAACUUUGCAGGAGGAUGGCUGAGUUUCUUGCAAUAUCGCCCAAGAGCCGUAGGGGUCCUCAGCACUUAGGCUGAGAUAUACUUUUCUGGUCUCCAGGGAUGCUUGGAAGUCUGCUUUCCCGUAUGGACAGCCCCUCCUGGUGGCAAGACCUAUAAUAAAGCAUUGCCAGUUGAAAGGCUUCUGGUAGUUUUCGUUGUGGUUCAUUCAGCCAUUGGAGGGAUGUCAGUGAAACUUACAGUUCUAUUGCUGGAGUUGAAUUUCCUAAUUGUUUCCCCUUCC